RNAcentral lists this ribosomal RNA (800 nucleotides) under uncultured bacterium. Its description in RNAcentral is "bacterial SSU rRNA". It matches the Rfam family "Bacterial small subunit ribosomal RNA", at positions 70 to 885 of the family's 1533-position model. The record is from RNAcentral.
CGAGAGGAGGUUUACUUUCUCAGCGAGUGGCGAACGGGUGAGUAACGCGUGAGGAACCUGCCUCAAAGAGGGGAACAACAGUUGGAAACGACUGCUAAUACCGCAUAAGCCCACGACCCGGCAUCGGGUAGAGGGAAAAGGAGCAAUCCGCUUUGAGAUGGCCUCGCGUCCGAUUAGCUAGUUGGUGAGGUAAUGGCCCACCAAGGCGACGAUCGGUAGCCGGACUGAGAGGUUGAACGGCCACAUUGGGACUGAGACACGGCCCAGACUCCUACGGGAGGCAGCAGUGGGGAAUAUUGCACAAUGGGGGAAACCCUGAUGCAGCGACGCCGCGUGGAGGAAGAAGGUCUUCGGAUUGUAAACUCCUGUUGUUGAGGAAGAUAAUGACGGUACUCAACAAGGAAGUGACGGCUAACUACGUGCCAGCAGCCGCGGUAAAACGUAGGUCACAAGCGUUGUCCGGAAUUACUGGGUGUAAAGGGAGCGCAGGCGGGAAGACAAGUUGGAAGUGAAAUCCAUGGGCUCAACCCAUGAACUGCUUUCAAAACUGUUUUUCUUGAGUAGUGCAGAGGUAGGCGGAAUUCCCGGUGUAGCGGUGGAAUGCGUAGAUAUCGGGAGGAACACCAGUGGCGAAGGCGGCCUACUGGGCACCAACUGACGCUGAGGCUCGAAAGUGUGGGUAGCAAACAGGAUUAGAUACCCUGGUAGUCCACACUGUAAACGAUGAUUACUAGGUGUUGGAGGAUUGACCCCUUCAGUGCCGCAGUUAACACAAUAAGUAAUCCACCUGGGGAGUACGA